AAGUCGUAACAAGGUUUCCGUAGGUGAACCUGCGGAAGGAUCAUUACAACUAACGUGAAAUCCACAACCUACCGUCUUCUCGUGAACAUUGCAUGAGCCGUUUGCGGUCGUUGAGGUUGUUCUGCCCAGGCGAUGUAUAGGGAACCCGAUGAGUGUCGGGAGGUUCCCGAGUCCGGACAGUGCGUACUCUUCCAUUGGAGGAGGCCUCUGACUGCAAACGCGUGUUUCCCCUCCCCACUCUUAUAAAUUAUCACCUUGUACCUUUUUCUACUAGAACUGACCUCUCCAGGAGGGCGCCCUCUCGUUAGAGAAGGCCCUUCUUGCAAGACUAUACGUAAAGAGAAAGAACAACUCUUAACAACGGAUAUCUUGGCUCUC
Molecule: unclassified non-coding RNA, 378 nt
Filed under: fungal sp.
Lineage: Eukaryota; Fungi
Description: partial internal transcribed spacer region
Rfam family: Eukaryotic small subunit ribosomal RNA (bases 1-46)
Source: RNAcentral